This 497-nucleotide ribosomal RNA is filed under the name uncultured bacterium. Its description in RNAcentral is "partial 16S ribosomal RNA". It matches the Rfam family "Bacterial small subunit ribosomal RNA", at positions 28 to 507 of the family's 1533-position model. The record is from RNAcentral.
GAUGAACGCUGGCCGCGUGCCUAAUACAUGCAAGUCGAGCGAACAGAUGAGGAGCUUGCUCCUCUGACGUUAGCGGCGGACGGGUGAGUAACACGUGGAUAACCUACCUAUAAGACUGGGAUAACUUCGGGAAACCGGAGCUAAUACCGGAUAAUAUAUUGAACCGCAUGGUUCAAUAGUGAAAGACGGUUUUGCUGUCACUUAUAGAUGGAUCCGCGCCGCAUUAGCUAGUUGGUAAGGUAACGGCUUACCAAGGCAACGAUGCGUAGCCGACCUGAGAGGGUGAUCGGCCACACUGGAACUGAGACACGGUCCAGACUCCUACGGGAGGCAGCAGUAGGGAAUCUUCCGCAAUGGGCGAAAGCCUGACGGAGCAACGCCGCGUGAGUGAUGAAGGUCUUCGGAUCGUAAAACUCUGUUAUUAGGGAAGAACAAAUGUGUAAGUAACUAUGCACGUCUUGACGGUACCUAAUCAGAAAGCCACGGCUAACUACGUG